This 500-nucleotide ribosomal RNA is filed under the name uncultured bacterium. RNAcentral's name for it is "bacterial SSU rRNA". It matches the Rfam family "Bacterial small subunit ribosomal RNA", at positions 30 to 507 of the family's 1533-position model. The record is from RNAcentral.
AUUGAACGCUGGCGGUAGGUUUUAAACAUGCAAGUCGAGCGGUAACAGACAUUUUGAUUCAGCUUGCUGAAUCUCGUGCUGACGAGCGGCGAACGGGUGAGUAACGCGUAGGAAUCUACCCAGUAGCGGGGGAUAGCCCGAGGAAACUCGGAUUAAUACCGCAUACGCCCUUAGGGGGAAAGGGGGCAUCUUUGAUGCUCUCACUAUUGGAUGAGCCUGCGUAAGAUUAGCUUGUUGGUAGGGUAAAGGCCUACCAAGGCUACGAUCUUUAGCUGGUCUGAGAGGACGAUCAGCCACAUUGGGACUGAGACACGGCCCAGACGUCUACGGACGGCAGCAGUUAAGAAUAUUGGACAAUGGGGGAAACCCUGAUCCAGCCAUACCGCGUGUGUGAAGAAGGCCUUAGGGUUGUAAAGCACUUUAAGCAACGAAGAAGAAAAAUAAGUUAAUACCUUAUUUUUUUGACAUUAAUUGCAGAAUAAGUACCGGCUAACUCCGUG